Molecule: long non-coding RNA, 1451 nt
Organism: Phacochoerus africanus (Common warthog)
Lineage: Eukaryota; Metazoa; Chordata; Mammalia; Artiodactyla; Suidae
Exons: 3
Source: RefSeq, a predicted model, not a curated record
GAAUGGCAAAAAUUCAUUUUUUAACCUUAAAAGGAAUGGCCCAGGAUGAAUAUAGUAACUCAUCUCAAAACCAGCCAUAGCAUGAAAAAGAAAACAAAAGUUAUAAAUUAGAACUACUUUGGUCAGUAACCAUCAAAUACAACCUAACAACAUACCAGUUAAAGCAGUCAGAGAUAUGGGCAAAAGAGUAAUGAAGAAUAUAUACCUUUUCAAAAUGAGGCUAGUCCAAUCCCAUACAUCUAGCAUAUGAAUAAAUUACAUUUGAAACCCUCAAUAGAAGUACUGUAUUUUAAAGAACAAAAGAGGCAGCUUCAGGCUAUUUUUCAUAAUUUUUCUAAUUCAUUGUUUUAAUGGAAUAGGAGAGUUUUGUGGGACUGAAAGGAAAAAAAAAAAAAGAAGAAGCCCUCUCUGAUGAGCUCUGAAUUUGCAAAUAGUAACUGCCACCUGAAUAAAGUACAGUACUUUGAAUGAUGGUGAUUUGUCAAUGAUGCAUUUUAAAUCAAUGUAGCUCUAAAAGAAGCCCGAAGAAUGAGCUGAAUCCAAUGAAGGAAAGCAAAGGUUAACUGAGUUAUCCAGUAGCAUCUUCUGUCAGGAAAAAAAAAAAAAAGAUAAAAGCCUCUAGACUUCAUGGGGAAAGAUGACUAUACCACACGAGUUCUAAGCCACAUGAUCAGGACAAGUGAGUUACAAUACAGAAAAAGACUAAGUGCCAGUAAUGACAGUGAUGGUUACACAUGGUAUAGCAGCUCCAGAUUUUACAUCCCCACAACUUCAAGGCCAAUGAAAGAAAGAAAGAAAGAAAGAAAGAAAGAAAGAAAGAAAGAAAGAAAGAAAGAAAGAAAGAAAGAAAGAAAGAAAGAAAGAACCAAAACUCUGAUUUGUUUCCAGAUAUUUCAGCAAUAUCUCAUUGACUGUGAUUAGCUCACAUACCCAUCCCUAAACCUCUCACUGUCCUGGGAAAUUAUAUGCCGUGACACAUCACAAAGUCAUCCCUGGAGUCUGGAGGGUGAUCAGCCCAACUGAAGAAGCCUGGAAGCUAAAACAGAGUGAGAUAAUACUCUCUCAGAAAGAAGUCUGGCCAAGGAUUUUUUUUUUUUUUUGGUGAGUAAAUUUUGGGGGCAAAAAUAAACCGAUGUCCCCAGCACUUUAUCAAAAAUUAUCUGAACUCUGAAAGGCAAAGAUUAGAAAGAAAGUAGAUAUUCAGGGGAGAAGAGAGUCAAGAAGGAAGAGGUGGAUGGUGGAUGGGGAUGGUUAAGAAUAUCAAAGAAACUGACUUACAAAUUGACCCACAUGGUAAGCAGUGAAAGGAAAGAGCCCCUGGACUUUUCUGUAGGAUUCUAAAUCUACAGACAUAAGAAACUGUUUUAAUGAUAGGUGUGAAACUAUUUUUCUUUAAAUCUAAAGUUUGGAAUAGUUUCUGAAAUUUGGGGGGAUUUAUUUAUUUAUAUUUG